Molecule: RNA transcript, 7868 nt
Organism: Globicephala melas (long-finned pilot whale)
Lineage: Eukaryota; Metazoa; Chordata; Mammalia; Artiodactyla; Delphinidae
Gene: CEP78
Gene name: centrosomal protein 78
Source: RefSeq, a predicted model, not a curated record
GCGAUGAGGCUGGCGCCAACUGCCUGCUCUGCGGCGCGGGAAGCGGCGCGGGAGCGCGGCAUCGAGGGGCAGGCCUAGCUGGGGCCCGUAGCCCUCCGUCUUCUGGCUGGUACGCAGGUCCUGCGCACGCUGCGUGGCCGCAGCCGCCGGGCAGUGGGCGCCGGAGGGACCGGGAGGCGAGCCGGGGUCCCCAGGCGGGUGUGGGCAUCGUGCCCGCAGCCAGCGUCCCCCGAGGCCGCGCUGGGGCCAUGAUCCACUCGGUGAAGCUGCGCCGCGAUAGCGCGGCCGACUUCGUCUCGCACUAUGAGUACCUGUGCGCGCUGCAGGACUCGGUGCCUCUGCCCGCCGUGCGCGCUUCUCUGCGGGGGGGCGUGCUGGACUUCAACGCCGACCGCCUCCGCGGGCUGGACUGGGCGCCGCUUCUGAGCACCCUCAAGAUUAAUAAAGAUCUGCCCCUGAUCUGUAUCAGGAGCUUCUUCCAGCCAUGGCUUGGCGAGACAGGUUCUGACAGAAAUAAAGUUUACAGAAGUCGUGUUCCUGCGAUAAGAAAUAAAGAUGUGACCUUCCAGUUGUGUAAAGCUCUUAAAUGCUGUGUGAGUGCGUCGGGUGCGCUAAGGAACCUGGAGCUAAAUGGGCUAGUUCUGAGAGAGAGAGACUUAACUAUGUUAACAAAGGGAUUGAAUAAAUCGGCCACUUUGGUGCACCUGUGUCUUGCGAAUUGUCCAAUUGGAGAUGGAGGUUUAGAAAUUAUUUGUCAAGGUAUAAAGAACUCUAUCACUCUUAAGACAGUAAACUUCACGGGGUGUAAUCUGACAUGGCAGGGAGCAGAUCACAUGGCCAAGAUCUUAAAGUAUCAGACUAUCAGAAGGCAUGAAGAAACCUGGGCUGAGAGUCUUCGUUACAGGAGACCUGAUCUUGACUGUAUGGCUGGUUUGAGGCGCAUCACUCUGAACUGCAACACGCUUAUUGGUGACCUGGGUGCAAGUGCUUUUGCAGAAUCUCUUAGUGAGGAUUUAUGGCUUAGAGCACUUGACCUGCAGCAGUGUGGCCUCACCAGUGAAGGAGCAAAGGCUUUACUAAAGGCCCUUGAAACCAACAGAACUCUGGUCGUUUUGGAUAUAAGAAAAAACCCACUUGUCGAUCAUUCUGUGAUGAAAUCAGUUAUCAAAAAAGUUCUCCAGAAUGGAAGGAGUGCCAAGUCAGAGUACCAGUGGAUAACUUCUCCAUCUGUGAAGGAACCAUCCAAAGCUGCUAGACAGAAAAAGAGAACUAUAAUUUUGGGAAGUGGUCGAAAAGGAAAAGCUACUAUUAGAAUUGUUAUUUGGAGACAUAGAGGCUUGGCCACAAAGAAACCUGUAAGUAAUGGAAGGAAACACUCUGCUGGUAAAGAAUGUUAUGCUCCUGAACCUCUACCACCUGGUGUGUCUGGUUUCCUGCCAUGGCGUACUGCAGAACGUGCAAAAAGGAACAGGGGUUUUCCAUGCAUCAAAGCUCGUGAUGUAUGUAAUCGGUUGCAGCAGUCAGAAUUUCCUGUGACUGUGACAGUAGAGAGUCCUUCCUCCUCAGAAAUCGAAGAGGUCGAUGAUUCCUCAGAAAGUAUUCAGGAAGAGCCAGAGAAAAUCAGUUUGAAACAAGAAGCAUUGCAGGAAAAACUGGAGGAGUGCCUAAAGCAGUUAAAGGAGGAAAGAGUAAUAAGACUUAAGGCUGAUAAACGAGUCAGUGAGCUGGAACAUGAAAACGCCCAGUUAAGAAAUAUAAAUUUCUCUUUGUCUGAAGCCCUUCAUGCCCACUCAUUGACAAGCAAGAUCCUGGAUGAUGAAGGUGUUUUGGGCAGCAUUGAGAAUUCUUUUCAGAAGUUCCACGCUUUCUUGGAUCUCCUUAAAGAUGCCGGGCUUGGGCAGCUGGCCACAAUGGCUGGUAUAGAUCAGUCAGAUUUUCAUUUACUAGGUCGUCCCCAGAUGAAUUCUACUGUUAGUAGUCCACCUAAAGAAGAAAAGAAGGCACUUGAAGAAGAAAAAUCAGAAUCAAAACAGGGUGCCCCAGGACAAAUGCAAAAUAUCCAAUUUCAGAAAAUUACAGGUGAUACUAGGAUUCCUUUGUCUCUCGACUCCUUCCAGGUCCCAGUCUCUACUCAGGAGGCCUUAGAAACUUCCAAAGAUAACCUGGGGUUCCCAGUCACAGAGCAGCGGCAGGAGUCUUUUGAAGAUUUCAUUGCUAGAACAUGUCCUCCUUCAGCAGAUGUCAUUUCUGGAACUGGAAGUCAAAGAAAAGAAGAGGAGUUAUCUAGAAAUAGCAGGUCUUCUUCAGAGAAAAUGACCAAAGCAGAGUCCCAUUGAAAUGACUGGAGAAAUAUUAAAACAAAAAUAAAUUAAUAGCAGAGUUGGAAAACCAGAAAAUGAACAAUGUGGACUUCCUAGAAGAUAAAGAGCAGAUUAUUGAAAGAUGAGUUAAUUGAAGAGUGGAACAGCUAAGCCAUUCCAAUCACCUCUUUGUGGAGUACCUAAUUAUGGAGUUUGCCACCAGGCUCAGGCUAAGAAAGCAGCUCUCUGAAGUGGGGGUCCUGACACAGGAAACACUGGGAUUGGAGAACAAGGGCAUUAUCCAAAAUGACUCCAAGCAGGAACUGAAGAUAAGCUGCCACACUUCUGGUUACGGUGACCUGCCGCUCCCUUUAUAAUCACCAGAGUGCCCAUAAUCAGAAUUUGUAUUCAUUGAAAGUGACCCAGAAUUCUCAUUUGGCUGAGGAAAAGCACUUCAAACCUUAGUCUUAGGCCCUCAUCUAUAAAUAUGCCAAGAAUCAUCAAAUUUGAAGAAAACCACUAACAUAAAAGGAGACACCAAAUUAAAACAAAGUAACCUGUUCAAGAAAGUAGUUACUAGAAGAAACAGAAGAAGUUUAAAAAUUAGUACAAUUAGGAUCUUCAGAGAGUCAUGAGGAUGUUGCAUCCAUAAAGAAUAGGAUGCUAGGAAAAAGAUAUUUAGUCGUUGGAAAUUAAAAAUACGAUUGUGAAAACAGAACAUUCAGAAGACGGACUAGAUAGCAGAAUAGAUUCAGUUGAAGCUUGAAUUCAUGAAAUGGAAGAUCUGAUUGAGAGAUCCCCUUAAUAUGCAUUGCAAAGGGAUGAAAGAUAAAAGUUAUGAAAAAGAAAGACUCCUAGAAGAACACGGGAGUUGGCAUACAGUAAGUGCACAAAUAUUUGUUGUAUAAGAUAGUGCAGAUAUCAGUAUGAGCAAUGAAUCCAUGGAAGAUUUUAAAUCAAAGGAACUGAUGAUGCCAUGUGAUCUGUGUUUCCCCUUUAUAAUCACCAUGGAUGCCUAUAAUAAGGAAAAAUCUAAGUAAAUAUUAUGCAUAUAUAAAAAUGAAGUGAGCUAAAAUUCUAGGCUUUAACAUGAAUGGAGGCAGGAUAUAGAAAGUGGAACAGUGUUCAGGAUCUUGUCUUAUUCAAGGCAAGAAUAUAGUGUUUACCUCUAGGUGUUGAUAGAAAAAUAUAUUUAAGUAUAUUUGAAGUGAAAGGCAUAUCAGUAAGGAUAGGUUAUGUGACGAUACUUCAGCCUCAAGCCUGAAAUCUUAGUGACUUAAAGCAACAUUGGUUUAUUUGUGCUCAUUCUGUAUGCGUUUGGCAGAUUGGCUAGAAGCCCUACUCCAUGUCCCCCUCAACCUGGGAGCCAGCUGACAAAGCAUCACUAUUUGGAACAUUGCUUGUUACAAUACCCAAGCAAAAAUAGAUUGUGAUGCAACAUACCCUGACUUAAAGCUUCUGCCUAGAUGAACGCAUGUCACUUCUCACAUUUCAUUGGCCAAAGAAAAUCACAUGGCCACGGCUGAAUUCAACUGAGCAGGGAAAUGCAGACUUACUGUGUGCCAAGACAAGGAGAGAGAGAAGCAAAUAUAUGUCAACAACUUUAAUAGCCCCCAAACCACCAGGAAAGGGGGGAUGGAAUUUAAAAGUCCAAGAAAAGGCAGGAAAGAAGAAAGAAACAAGAUAAAUAGGAACACACACACACACAUACAGACGGUAGCAAGACCAAAUGCUUUUCUCACAAUAAAUGUAAAUUAAAUUCUGGAAUUCCUUAAGCUUGAGUAAAAAAAACAAUCCAACUAUGUGCUAUUUGCAAAAAAAAAAAUCUAAAAGACUUUCAUGGAUUAUAAAGAAGUAAACGAGCAUACCAGGCAGAUGCUAACAAAAGUGUAUGUGACUAUGUUAACCUCAGAAUAAACAAUAAAUAGGACUCAAGAUGAAAACCAUUAAGUGGGAGAAAAUAAAAGCAUUUCGGCUGAUAAAAAGUAUAGUUUUGCAGAAAGAUUAUUUGAAAUCGGAUCUGCAAUCUAAAAACUCAGUUUCAAAAUGUAUAGAGCAAAAACAGAAAUACAAGGAAAAGUGAGCAAACCAAUUAUGAGAGAGACUUUAACACAUCCCUCUUCCAAAUCAGUGGAUCUACUGCUACUCACUAAAUAAGAAAAUACUGACAGAACCAAGGGCUGGUGAGGAUGCGAAGUAACUGAAAUUCUGGUGGAAACACAAAAUGAUGUAGUCCCUCAAAACAGAUUGGCAGUGUCUUUAAACAUAAAUACACCAGCAGUUUCACAAGUUACGUGAAAACUUACGUUCAUGUAAAAACAUGUAUGUGGUGUUUAUAGCAGCUCUAUUCAUAAUCAUCAAAAAGUCUUCCUAAAGGUGGAUGGAUAAACAAAUGAUGGUGUGUCCACACAAUGGAAUACUACUCGGCAAUAAAAAAGAAUAAAUUAUUAAUACAUAUGUCAACUUGGAUGAAUCGCAAAGUCAUAUGCUAAGUGAAAGAAGCCAAAAGGUUACAUCUUGAUGUAAUCUCAAAAGGAUGAAGGAGUGGCUUAUUCUGGCUGGUGAGAUCAGCAAAGGGGUGGUUACACAAGCAUGGCCCCUCCCUCUGGCUCUCUUGCGGACCCUGCCUGUCCCCAGGCAGCAUGCAGCAUUUCUGUGCAGUAAACCCACCAGGCCUUCUCUGCCUCUGUCGUAAGGUGGACAGAGCAGGCCUGCCAUUGCCGGUAAGUCAAUUCCACUUGGUGGGGGAAGAGGAAUGGGAAGACUGGCCUGGACUUGGCUUUCAGUCCUCGUCUCCAGUCCUCCUUGAAAAGUAUUGGUACUGCUAUUUUGAUCCUUAUUGGAGUCUAUUUGGCUUCUGUGAACAGAUUUCAGUUGGGUUCCAAACUUUGGAGGGGAAAAGGGUAGAAUUAAUUAGUGCCCUAAAAACUCAACACAGGCUGUCUUCCUACACAUGUCAAGAAACAUGACAAUUGAGAGUCUCACCUCCAUAGCUUCUGUCAUGGGAAGAGACUGACUUCCUUAGUUCCAGUUAAAGAUCCUGGGGAAACCAAAUCACACCCAUUAGGAUGGCUACUAUAAAACAAAGAACAAAAAAUGAAAGUAACAGUCAUUGGCAAGGAUGUGGAGAAAUUAGAAUCCUUGUGCACUAUUGGUGGGAAUGUAAAAUGCGGUAGGCGCUAUGGAAAAUAGCAUGACGGUUCCUCAAAAAACUUAAAAAUAGAAUUACCAUAUGAUCCAGCAAUUCCACUUCUGGGUACGUACCCAAAAGAAUUGAAAGCAGGGUCUCAAGGAGGUAUCUGUACACCCAUAUUCAUAGCAGCAUUAUUCACAAUGGCCAAAAGGUGGAAGCAACCCAAGUGUCUCUUGACUGAUGAAUGGGUAGACAAAAUGUGGUAUGUACAUACGAUGGAAUAUUCUUCAGCCUUCAAGAGAAAGGAAGUUCUGACAUAAGCUACAACAUAUGCUAAAGAAGGGAGUCUGAAAAGGAACCUUGAGGACACUAUGCUAAGUGAAAUAGCCACAAAAAGACAAAUACUGUAUUAUUGUGCUUAUAUGAAGCACCUGGAGUAGUCAUAGUCAGAAACAGAAAGCAGAAAGGUGGCUGCCAGGGGCUGGAGGAAGGGAGGACUGGGGUGUUGUUUAGUGGGUGUGGAAUUUCAGCUCUGUGGGCUGAGGAGAGUUCUGGAGAUUGCACAACAACGUGCAUGUACUUAACAUUAUUGAUCUGUACAUUUAAAAAUGGUUAAGAUGGUAAAGUUUUUGUUAUAUGUAUCUCACCUUAAAAUCCUGGAAGAGAUUUCUGAUGAACGCCCCUUGGAUCUGGGGAUAACUCGUACACAGCAAUCAAUUGUGGCCAACGGCAGAGUCAGCUCAGAACAUCUGAGCCUCCCCUCACAUGGAGGGAAGAGUCUGUUACUCUUGGCCUUCUUAUUUUAAACUAGUGAGCCAUUGGAAAGCUCUGGAAUCCUGUGACUGACAAAUAUCUGUGGCACAGAAGUUCAUACGUGGAACUGAAGAGUCUUUGAGAUUUUGGCAGAACAAACAAUUCUGUAGUUUUUUAAACCAGUCAAAAGGAAAGGGUGAAAUUUCUCUUCUUUUUGAGAAGAAUGGAGAAGAAUAAAACUAAUAAAUCUCAGAAGUUCAAUCUGAAAUGACAGGACAGGGAGUGCAGGAAAGACAGAUUUUUUUGCCGAAGCUUUGGGAUAAAUAAAAUGUCCUUGCCUGUGAUAAAUAUUUUCUAAUGAUAUAUGGUCUUCUGAGUUUAGCCAUUUAAGUUCAUGUGCAAUUUGCAGCAAUAAGGACUUGGUGAUUUAAAAAUAAAAACGUCUUUCUUUUGGAAUAUGACUUAGAACUUUGGUUCAGAAUAUAAUGUUAUUUAUUGAUUUUCUGUUGAAACGUGGAUUUCUGCUGGGCUAGUAUCUCACUCUAAGGAGUCUGCCUACACGGUGAUGAACCGGAAUGUCUGGAGGACCGGGCACAUCAGCAGAACAUGUCAGGAUUCUGGUCACUGACACGAGUUGGGGUGAGGUCACCAGGCCCAGCUGUGCAAAGGAGGGGAAGCUGAGGAGGAAAUGUCAUGUUUGCCUUCCCAGCCCUCAGCCUUUUUUCUACCAAGAGCAUCCCCUUUUGGGGUUGAACCAGGCCCCUCUCACUUCAGUAUUGUGAUUCAGUGGAUGCUGCCAAUCCUAUUGCUCUGCACCCCUGAGUGCAGGAGUGGGCGUGAGACCCAAGCGCCCUGUAGUCCUUCCACGAUGAUUUUCACAGCAGAAGCAAAGGAAGAGAGUCCCAGCACGUGGGUUUCUUGUCUAGGUUGUCCCUGAAGCAAAGCCUUACGCUUCCACCUGCCCUGAGGUUCCAGGUUCAACAAAUGGAUUCAUUUCCCUUCUGAUGGUUGGAGUGGGAUUUGUGUCGAUUGCAAUUAGAAGAGUCCAGGGACGUAGCUAAGUGAAUUGAGCACAGGCCACCCAGCAUUCCUCUGAAUAUGGACUAGCGACAGGAUUAGGCUACUGCCUUCCCUCCAUAAGGAAAUGAGGAGUAGCAGGAAAUGGUCCCUUGAACAGUGGUCUAAGAGCAAAGGAGAGCAUUCUGGUUUCUGCCUCUGCCAUUAAUGUGCUGUGUGAUCUGGGAUGAGUUACUUUCUAGUCUGCUAUAAGAUGGGGGACUAGACACCACCAUCUGAAGGGCACUUUCAGCCCUUAUAGUCUUUCAAAUACCUAACCCUCAAUUUGAUCCAUGCUAUAGAGGUAGGAGAUAGGUAGGAGAGAGAGAAGCACCAGGCUGAGCAACUGCAGCUGGUCUCCUAACGCUUUGAGAUGGGAGUGGGAGCACGGGGCCCUGAUGGGGUGCAUUUCUGUGGAUUUCCCGGCCUGACACGUGUGAAGAGAAGGCCCUCAGUCUACAGGAAGGACAAAAAGGAGGGAGAAGACGCCAGCUGGAAUCCACCUUGGCUGAGAGAUGUGCGUGCACACCAGUACCAAAUGUGGAGAUGAUUGGCCAGAGACAACCUAGAAAACUGCCCCUAUAUAAGCAACCUAAGCUGCCCCUAUGGUGUAUAACUCACUCUGA